This 252-nucleotide ribosomal RNA is filed under the name Triticum aestivum (bread wheat). RNAcentral's name for it is "partial small subunit ribosomal RNA". The record is from RNAcentral. Lineage: Eukaryota; Viridiplantae; Streptophyta; Magnoliopsida; Poales; Poaceae.
CUGGCUCACCACGACGGUCUUGGUGGCGUCGCUGUUGCCGGCGUCGACGGGGUAGGUGACCUCGUCGCCCUCCAUCCCGAGCACGCGCUUGGCGACGAUCUUGCGCGGGUCCUCCGGCGAGAGGAGGAGCACGACGUCCCCCGGCCCCACCCACCCGCGCCGCGGGCUCACCUUGUCGGUGAGCAGCACGUCCCCCGCCAUGUUCAGCGCCGGCAGCAUGCUGGGGCCCCGUGGCUGCGGCAACAAGGAUGA